RNAcentral lists this ribosomal RNA (549 nucleotides) under uncultured bacterium. RNAcentral describes it as "partial 16S ribosomal RNA". It matches the Rfam family "Bacterial small subunit ribosomal RNA", at positions 355 to 920 of the family's 1533-position model. The record is from RNAcentral.
UGGGGAAUAUUGCACAAUGGGCGAAAGCCUGAUGCAGCAACGCCGCGUGAGUGAUGAAGGCCUUCGGGUUGUAAAGCUCUGUCUUUUGGGACGAUGAUGACGGUACCAAAGGAGGAAGCCACGGCUAACUACGUGCCAGCAGCCGCGGUAAUACGUAGGUGGCAAGCGUUGUCCGGAUUUACUGGGCGUAAAGGAUGCGUAGGCGGAUUUUUAAGUGAGAUGUGAAAUACCCGGGCUUAACUUGGGUGCUGCAUUUCAAACUGGGAAUCUAGAGUGCGGGAGAGGAGAAUGGAAUUCCUAGUGUAGCGGUGAAAUGCGUAGAGAUUAGGAAGAACACCAGUGGCGAAGGCGAUUCUCUGGACCGUAACUGACGCUGAGGCAUGAAAGCGUGGGUAGCAAACAGGAUUAGAUACCCUGGUAGUCCACGCCGUAAACGAUGAGUACUAGGUGUAGGAGGUAUCGACCCCUUCUGUGCCGCAGUUAACACAAUAAGUACUCCGCCUGGGAAGUACGAUCGCAAGAUUAAAACUCAAAUGAAUUGACGGGGUC